This 482-nucleotide ribosomal RNA is filed under the name uncultured bacterium. RNAcentral's name for it is "partial 16S ribosomal RNA". It matches the Rfam family "Bacterial small subunit ribosomal RNA", at positions 30 to 507 of the family's 1533-position model. The record is from RNAcentral.
UGAACGCUGGCGGCAGGCCUAACACAUGCAAGUCGAGCGGAUGAAGGGAGCUUGCUCCUGGAUUCAGCGGCGGACGGGUGAGUAAUGCCUAGGAAUCUGCCUGGUAGUGGGGGAUAACGUCCGGAAACGGGCGCUAAUACCGCAUACGUCCUGAGGGAGAAAGUGGGGGAUCUUCGGACCUCACGCUAUCAGAUGAGCCUAGGUCGGAUUAGCUAGUUGGUGGGGUAAAGGCCUACCAAGGCGACGAUCCGUAACUGGUCUGAGAGGAUGAUCAGUCACACUGGAACUGAGACACGGUCCAGACUCCUACGGGAGGCAGCAGUGGGGAAUAUUGGACAAUGGGCGAAAGCCUGAUCCAGCCAUGCCGCGUGUGUGAAGAAGGUCUUCGGAUUGUAAAGCACUUUAAGUUGGGAGGAAGGGCAGUAAGUUAAUACCUUGCUGUUUUGACGUUACCAACAGAAUAAGCACCGGCUAACUUCGUG